Asparagus officinalis (garden asparagus) is the source of this 799-nucleotide long non-coding RNA. RefSeq lists it as uncharacterized. NCBI's taxonomy places the organism in Eukaryota, Viridiplantae, Streptophyta, Magnoliopsida, Asparagales, Asparagaceae. The record is from RefSeq and is a predicted model, not a curated record. The transcript is spliced from 10 exons.
CUCACUUCUCAAAUCAUCGAUGCAUCGACUGCGACACGUGUCCGUGGAUGGCUCCGGAGCACUUCAAGUGGGUUGAUGAGAAAGCUGCGGUCACAAAGCAACCAAUCUCUAGGGAGGAAAGAAUCAGAGCUCUUCAGAAGAAGAUGGGUAUAAAGGAUUGUUCUGGCUACACGACUGCACAAUCUCUGUAGUUGCUGGAGCAAAAUGGUAGCAAGAAAGCUAAUUCAGGAAUUAUUAUAAUAGUGAUUCAGCUUGCGAAGACAAAACCAUAUGAAGGCAAAAUUACUAUUACAAAUGUCUUAUAUGCGUCCAAGAUAUUAAUCAAUCCCGACAUACUUGAAGUUGCUGAUCUAAAAACAAGUCUGAAACUUGUGGAAGAUUCUUCGUUUCAACGAUUUAGUCAGAUUCCAACUGAAAAAGCUUAUUCCAUCGAGGAUGAUUUUCUGUUAUUAACUGAAUGGAAGACACUUGAUGAAAUUCGAGAGGCACGAGAGGAAGGUGAUGAUGAUUCAUUUCCUCAAUAGUUAGAUGUCUUUCAGAGACAGCUUAGAUUUGAACAAGGAGUCGACAGGUCAAGAAUAUUUCACUAAUGAAGCUGAAUCUUCCAAAAAGAAAGAUGAUCUUGAUAAUAUCGCAAAACAACCCUGGGAGAUAAACCGAGCGAGAAAGGUCAACAACCCGUUGUGAGACUAUGGACGCAAGAGGUCGCAAGAGGUCAGGGAACGCUGAGUUGGUGACAUGACGUGUAAAGUGAAUAUGACGAAGAUUAGCAUGCGAGUAUGGUUGGCCUUAAGAGUCC